RNAcentral lists this ribosomal RNA (253 nucleotides) under uncultured bacterium. RNAcentral describes it as "partial 16S ribosomal RNA". It matches the Rfam family "Bacterial small subunit ribosomal RNA", at positions 524 to 776 of the family's 1533-position model. The record is from RNAcentral.
UACGUAGGGAGCAAGCGUUGUCCGGAAUCAUUGGGCGUAAAGCGCGCGUAGGCGGCCCGAUAAGUCCGCUGUAAAAGUCAACGGCUCAACUGUUGAAAGCCGGUGGAUACUGUCGGGCUAGAGUACGGAAGAGGCAAGUGGAAUUCCUGGUGUAGCGGUGGAAUGCGCAGAUAUCAGGAGGAACACCCAUAGCGAAGGCAGCUUGCUGGGACGUUACUGACGCUAAGGCGCGAAAGCGUGGGGAGCGAACAGG